GCUUACGGCCAUACCAGCCUGGGUACGCCCGAUCUCGUCUGAUCUCGGAAGCUAAGCAGGGUCGGGCCUGGUUAGUACUUGGAUGGGAGACCGCCUGGGAAUACCAUGUGCUGUAAGCA
RNAcentral lists this ribosomal RNA (119 nucleotides) under Salmo salar (Atlantic salmon). The record is from RNAcentral. Lineage: Eukaryota; Metazoa; Chordata; Actinopteri; Salmoniformes; Salmonidae.